RNAcentral lists this ribosomal RNA (246 nucleotides) under uncultured bacterium. RNAcentral's name for it is "partial 16S ribosomal RNA". It matches the Rfam family "Bacterial small subunit ribosomal RNA", at positions 109 to 353 of the family's 1533-position model. The record is from RNAcentral.
AGUAACGCGUGGGUAACCUGCCUUAUACAGGGGGAUAACAGUCAGAAAUGGCUGCUAAUACCGCAUAAGCGCACAGAGCUGCAUGGCUCAGUGUGAAAAACUCCGGUGGUAUGAGAUGGACCCGCGUCUGAUUAGCUAGUUGGUGGGGUAACGGCCCACCAAGGCGACGAUCAGUAGCCGGCUUGAGAGAGUGAACGGCCACAUUGGGACUGAGACACGGCCCAAACUCCUACGGGAGGCAGCAUG